Molecule: long non-coding RNA, 619 nt
Organism: Oncorhynchus tshawytscha (Chinook salmon)
Lineage: Eukaryota; Metazoa; Chordata; Actinopteri; Salmoniformes; Salmonidae
Source: Ensembl
GUAGGAGAGAGAGAAAGAGAGAGAGGAAGAGAGAGAGGAGUAGAGAGAGAGAGAGAGAGGAGUAGAGAGAGAGAAAGAGAGGAGUAGAGAGAGAGAGAGGAGUAGAGAGAGAGAGAGAGAGAGAGAGGAGUAGAGAGAGAGAGAGAGAGGAGUAGAGAGAGAGAGAGGAGGAGAGAGAGAGAGAGAGAGAGAGGAGUAGAGAGAGAGAGAGAGAGGAGUAGAGAGAGAGAGAGAGAGAGAGAGAGAGAAAGAGAGAGAGAGAGAGAAAGAGAGGAAGAGAGAGAGAGGAGUAGAGAGAGAGAGAGGAAGAGAGAGAGAGAGAGAGAGGAGUAGAGAGAGAGAAAGAGAGGAGUAGAGAGAGAGAGAGAGCGAGGAGUAGAGAGAGAGAAAGAGAGGAGUAGAGAGAGAGAAAGAGAGGAGUAGAGAGAGAGAAAGAGAGGAGUAGAGAGAGGGAGGAGUAGAGAGAGAGCGAGGAGGAGUAGAGAGAGAGAGAGAGCGAGGAGUAGAGAGAGAGAAAGAGAGGAGUAGAGAGAGAGAAAGAGAGGAGUAGAGAGAGAGAGAGGAGUAGAGAGAGAGAGAGGAGUAGAGAGAGAGAGAGAGAGCGAGGAGUAGAGAGAGA